AUGUCGAGGAGGUCCUUCUCUGUGAUGGUCGACUGGAUCCAGUCUCCUUGGAUCCAGCCCUUCGGCAGGCGGGAUCUGGACGAGGACCCUCCGCGGCUGGUGGAUCUCCCCUUCGCCUUCUCCGACGCCGACGCCUUCUUUGCGCGCUCCAGCGCCGCCGUCUUCUCCUUGGCCAUGGUCACCGGCGAGAUGCGCGAAGGGAAGUGGUGCGGGGGCGAGAGCGAGCACGCUGGGCGGAGAAGAAGGAAGCAGAGAGAGGGAGAGAAUGCUGAGGCGCGGCACAGAAAUCCUCGCCGGGCACAUUUAUAA
RNAcentral lists this ribosomal RNA (309 nucleotides) under Triticum aestivum (bread wheat). Its description in RNAcentral is "partial small subunit ribosomal RNA". The record is from RNAcentral. Lineage: Eukaryota; Viridiplantae; Streptophyta; Magnoliopsida; Poales; Poaceae.